GUGACGUCGGCGCCGGAACCUGGGAUCCCGGCUCCGGGAGGGAAGGCCGGGCGGCGGCGGUGGCCUCGGCGGGGCGCGCGGCGCAGCCAUGAGCGAGUCCAGUGCCAGUGCGCUCCCGGCCGGCAGGCGCGGCAGGCAGCCCUUCGUGCACCAAGACAGCCUCUCUUUGGACUCCAGUUACUUUUCUUCUCCUCCUAUGAAUUUCCUUCAAGAAUUACCAAGCUACCGGUCCAUCGCACGCAAGAGGACGACCAUCCUUUCCCGAGACAAGCAAAGUGACACAUUGCUGAAGCCGACAGACUCCUACAGCUCCCAGCUGGAGGGCGGAAUCACUGAAAACCUCAAUAGCCAGUCCAUUCGAAAGUAUGCACUGAACAUCUCUGAGAAACGCAGACUAAGGGACAUUCAGGAGACCCAAAUGAAGUAUUUAUCUGAGUGGGACCAGUGGAAACGGUACAGCAGCAACUCUUGGAAGAGGUUCGUAGAGAAGGCUCGGGAGAUGACCUCCCACCUGGAGCUGUGGCGGGAGGACAUUCGCAGCAUCGAAGGGAAAUUUGGCACUGGGAUUCAGUCCUAUUUCUCCUUCUUGCGGUUUCUGGUGUUGCUGAAUUUGGUGAUAUUUCUGAUCAUCUUUAUGCUGGUUUUGCUCCCAAUGUUGCUCACCAAAUACAAGAUCACCAACAGCAGCUUUGUGCUCAUUCCCUCCAAAGACAUAGAUAUCCAGUGCACAGUGUAUCCAAUAAGUAGCUCUGGACUCAUUUACUUUUAUAGUUAUUUCAUAGACUUGCUCUCUGGCACUGGUUUCCUGGAGGAGACCUGCCUCUUUUAUGGACAUUACACCAUUGACGGGGUGAAGUUUCAGACUUUCACUUAUGAUUUGCCUCUGGCUUACUUGUUAAGCACAAUUGCCUACCUGGCCCUGAGCCUUCUUUGGAUAGUGAAAAGGUCGGUGGAAGGGUUCAAAAUCAACCUGAUCCGGAGUGAAGAGCACUUCCAGAGUUACUGCAACAAGAUCUUCGCCGGCUGGGACUUUUGCAUCACCAACCGCAGCAUGGCGGACCUGAAGCAUGGCAGCCUGCGGUACGAGCUCCGAGCAGAUCUGGAGGAAGAAAGGAUACGGCAGAAAAUAGCAGAAAGGACCUCAGAGGAAACGCUACGGAUUUACUCUUUGAGACUGUUUUUGAACUGUAUUGUUCUGGCCGUUUUAGCGGCAUGCUUUUACGCAAUCUAUAGAGCAACUAUAUUCUCGCAGGAGCAUAUGAAAAAGGAAAUUGACAAGAUGGUUUUUGGAGAGAACCUCUUGAUAUUGUACCUGCCUUCUAUUGUGAUCACACUGGCCAAUUUUGUCACCCCAAUGAUCUUUGCCAAGAUCAUCCACUAUGAGGAUUAUUCCCCAGGCUUUGAGAUCCGGCUGACCAUCCUUAGGUGUGUCUUUAUGCGGCUGGCCACCAUCUGUGUGCUGGUGUUCACCCUGGGCUCCAAGAUUACAUCCUGUGAUAACUACUCCUGUGAACUCUGUGGCUACAACCAGAAACUCUACCCGUGCUGGGAGACCCAAGUUGGGCAAGAAAUGUACAAGCUGAUGAUCUUCGACCUCAUCAUCAUCUUGGCUGUGACACUUUUUGUGGAUUUUCCUAGAAAGCUUCUGGUGACUUACUGUUCCUCUUCAAAGCUGAUCCAGUGCUGGGGGCAGCAGGAAUUUGCCAUUCCUGAUAACGUGCUGGGGAUUGUUUAUGGGCAAACCAUUUGCUGGAUCGGAGCCUUUUUCUCCCCGCUUCUCCCUGCAAUUGCGACCUUGAAAUUCAUUAUCAUCUUUUAUGUGAAAGAGGAUGAAUUCCCCAAUAUUGAAGUCUGGAGUAAACAUUUUUCAUUUUGGUUUAUAUUGCUGACGACCCUCCAGAAAGGUCAUACCAGUUCACACGGCCACCGAGAUGCGAGAACGUGCUCCUCCACGCCGUGGAAGCGGCACUCACCGCUCGUCAUUGUUUCUCUGUGUCCCUCUGCCCCAGAUGAGUCUCAUUUACACCUGCACACCUUCCCCGAGGCAGUUCCGAGCGUCCAAUUCUAAUUUCUUCUUCCUGCUGGUGUUGCUGAUCGGGCUGUGUUUGGCUAUAAUACCGCUGACGAUCAGCAUGGCACGCAUCCCUUCCUCGAAAGCCUGUGGGCCGUUCACCAACUUCAACACCACCUGGGAGGUGAUCCCCAAGACGGUCAGCACCUUCCCCAGCUCGCUGCAGUCCCUGGUCCACGGCCUCACGUCAGAAGCCUUUGCAGUGCCCUUCUUCAUGAUCAUCUGCCUUAUCAUGUUUUACUUCAUCGCCCUGGCCGGAGCGCACAAGCGUGUGGUUGUCCAGCUCCGAGAACAGCUGUCCCUGGAAAGCCGUGACAAGCGUUAUCUAAUCCAGAAACUAACAGAAGCCCAGAGGGAAAUGAGGAACCGACUAGACUGAGGGUGAAGAUGCUGCUGCGUGUCACUUACAAGCUGACCCAGGGACCUGCCGAGCCUGCACAGUCCAUCUGGGUUUUGAGCAGGAAUUUUAAAAUAUAUUUUUCCGGAGUUCAGUCCUUUUCUGAAAGUGGUUCCAUAUGUGCCGCUGCGGUGGCCGUGUUUACGUAACCCAGCCCCAGUUUAGGGCUUUAGCGACUUAGAAAAAAGCAGGUUCGAAACCAAGCCUUGCCUGUAGACCAGCCACUCAGUGAGGACUAUACCAAAAAACCGACAUAGGAGGCGGCUGAAGCUUUUACAACUAAAACCGAGGAGGAGAGACCUGUGAUAUUGUCAAUAGCUUAUUUGUGUUGUCUUUUCAAGUUAACUGUAGGGGUCGUCCAUUCACGGGGCUGGGUUCUUUCUUUUGAACCAGGUUCUGGAGGUUUAGGCUGAGAAAUGUUCUGAGAAGUAGAGGCCCUUUUGAGUGGUUCUGUAGACUGAUUUUUUUUUUUUUUUUGGAUGAAGAGAAAUCCUUGAAUCGUGAUGUUUGGAACAGAUGGGAACAUGGAGAGGGUGGUUAUGUAAUUUCAGCUUCACGGUAGUAACGUGAGAGAGAAAGGCAGUCCUGCUGUGUGAAUCAGCGGUCCCUAAGGGGCCUGGGUGAAUCAGCCUUAGGAGGAUGGAAGUUGCUGGAUGGGGGCCUUGAGUUCUUAGCUUCCUGGGUAUUUUGCUGCAGCCUCAUGACUCGGGGCAAAGCUGCUCUUCAGGCACUGGAUAGCCACAAGCCUUCAGUUCUCUUGUCCUGAGUGCUGAGACUUACCAGAGAGCCCUGUGCCACCAAAAUUGAGGCGAGGUCUGUGUCUCCAUCUUCCAAAUGCCCUUUUGCUUCCUGCACUGAGGUCUCCAUUUCUGAAGGACACUUAACAUUUCAGAGGCAGGCUGGAAAGUUCUGCUGAAUAUCUGAGCUGUGGGUUUCUAUGCAUAAGUGUUUGGGGAUGUGGGUUGCAGCAUCAGAGCAGCCUGCGCCAGUAUACCAAACUGAGACGAGUGCUGGCAUCUUAAAUGCACGUGUGUGUAUUUUUAAGGACUAUUGUUUGUUUUCUUGCGCUUAAAGUUUUUAAUUUUAUUUUACAAAACACGCAGGGUCUCUCUUAUGAUUUCCGUUACAGGAAAAACCAUAUGCGAUAAAUACCUCAUCAGACACUUACCCGAAAUGGAUAGCUCUGGACCUUUGCAUGGAAGCCUAAGUUAUUGUUUAAUGUAAUCUGUUUUCAUUUUAAUAUCUUCAGGAUCUUUUUCAAAGUACUACAGUUUUGUAAUGGAUCAUUCGAGGCUUCCUUCCAUCGCUUUUCUUCCUUUCACUGGCUCUAAACCUUUCCUGGGGGGCGGGGGGUAGCCUGGAAUUCAGAGUUGAGUGCAGGUUGGCGAAAGCUAGUAUCAUGGAAUUUUGAGUAACCAAAAGUUCAUUCCAUCCUCACUUUAAAAAGAAGUUCUAAUUGUUGGCAUUUCUGCCUAGUGCCUUUAUGUAUUUAAUGUUCUUACCUUUACAUGCUUCUGAGGUCAGUCAAGUUUCCUGUGUGUGUGUGUGUGGGAGAGAGAGAGAGAUGGAAGCUCUAUUUUCUUCCCCUAUUAUAAAACUGAUACUGAAAUAUGCUAAUAUAUUAGUUUUCGUUAAAUGCUGCUAAUUGGCGUACCUCUUGAAUGUUUUUAUAUAUUUUGAUAGCUGUAAUAACUUAAGGUGCUGUCUGUGGAAUUGUUAAAGCGUAGCUCUCUCUAACAAAUGUGCAUUAAAACUACUGAUUAAACCGUGUCUUGAAGGUUUUAAAACGUGA
Molecule: RNA transcript, 4260 nt
Organism: Equus caballus (horse)
Lineage: Eukaryota; Metazoa; Chordata; Mammalia; Perissodactyla; Equidae
Gene: TMC7
Gene name: transmembrane channel like 7
Source: RefSeq, a predicted model, not a curated record